AGAAACCCGCUGCUCUUCCCACUGCUCUUCAUCGUCGAAUUUCUAGGCUAAAAAAGGAAAAACAAGAAUUCAAAUUGGCUGACCUAACACAUAUAAUACUCUUUUUUAUCCAUCCAAAAAUCGGACCGAUCAUCUUUACCUGUAAAAUGAACUCGUAUAAUUUUCCCCAAAAUCAUUUCCUUUUUCCCUUCAAACCAGAAAGCAAGAGAAACCCGCUGCUCUUCCCAUCGCCCUUCAUCGCUGAAUUUCUGGGCCAACAAAGGAAAAACAAGCACAGGUUCAUCUAUUCCAAAACAUCCUUCUAACUUAGUGUGAGGCAGGCUACCGAAACCGAAGGUGGAAAUAGAUGAUGG
Molecule: long non-coding RNA, 353 nt
Filed under: Olea europaea (common olive)
Lineage: Eukaryota; Viridiplantae; Streptophyta; Magnoliopsida; Lamiales; Oleaceae
Description: long non-coding RNA (OEUR_LNC006752)
Source: RNAcentral